This 4260-nucleotide long non-coding RNA is filed under the name Taeniopygia guttata (zebra finch). Its description in RNAcentral is "lncRNA (ENSTGUG00000023671.1)". The record is from RNAcentral. Lineage: Eukaryota; Metazoa; Chordata; Aves; Passeriformes; Estrildidae.
UUCUUCCUCAGCAGGUAUACAUCAGUAUUAUUUGAUAGAAUUCAAACAAAGUAUAAUUGUCUUAGUCACCUAAUCAUAGACUUUGAGGUUGGAAGAGAUCAUUAUCCUCCUGCAAGUUGCAGCACCUCAGCUGUAAGUCUCAGCAGCCAGUCUGUAAUGCCUCUUAGAAGUGCAAUAUCCCAAGAAGGACCUUUAGACACAUGAGUACAGAGUGGAAGAUUCAUCACCUCAUCAAAGAUGUGGGUAAUUAUUCACUGGGUGGUUUGGGCUUUUUUUAAGGGCUUUAUUUGCAGUUAAAUCUUACAUACCAAUUUUUCAAGAGAAUAAUAUCCCAUACUGUCCUUUGUUAUGCCCUUUCUUCUUAUACUAAAAAGCCAGUCAUAAUCAAAAUCAUCUUUUACAAUAGUCUUUACUUGUCUUUUGAAUAAGACAGGCAGCUUGCUCAUUCCUAGCUUUUCACAAUAAGCUCUGCCUUUCAGGCCUCAUGUUUAUUGCAGGACUUUAUGACUAUGUGGUUUAUCAGAUAGUCUACUCUGAAAUGUGGGUAUGAGAGUUGCACACAGCAUUCCUGUCGUGGUUUUACAUUUGCUAUAAACAGAGCUAAUAAUCACCUUCCUACUCUCACUUCAUAUUUUCCGUGCUUAGGCUUCAGGGCUGACAUUCACUCUGUAAUUGCAUCAUCCCACUGCAAACUCAUGUUCAGUUAAUUAUCUAACAAGACCCUGGCUUCUUUUCAUGUUCUGUCAUUUUGAAAUACUUAGUCCAAUCCUGUCUAUAUAAACUACGCUCUUUCUUCCUUAGAUAUAUGAGUGCAAAUUUAUCUGUAUUAAAAUUAUAUUAAAAUCAGCCCACCCUACUAAAUUAUUAAUUCUCUACAGUUAUCAUCUGUCCAAUUUAGAACUUCAGCAGUUUCCAUGAUUUCCAAAACCUGUAUUGUCAUUUUACUUUGUAUUUCAAUUUGUACAUAAAGAUAAUAAGUUAUGAUUUGUCAAGAGCAGAGCCCUGUACAAUCCUGGUAGGACCUUCCAUGAAGUUUUCCUGUUUACAGCUACUCCUGACAUGGGUAUAUUUGUAUUUCAGUUAAUAUGGAUAUAAGCAUACAAAGUCGUGUGUAUAUAAUAUUACAGGAAAUACAUGCUGAGUUACAUGGCUUCUUCAUCAGUGUAGGUCUCCAAGGAUGGAUUAGAUUCCUUUCUGCUGAAAAUUACAUAUGUAGAGAUUAUCUUCCCCAGAAAAAUGACUUAGACUAGGGUGAGCUUAGUGUGCCUUUCAUAUAAUUCAGUGCUGCAGUCUUUGUAUGUUGUCCAGCUGCCAUUACUUAAGGGAAAAGGUAUAAAAUUUAAUUGUUAAACUCAUUCUAUGUCUCCUGUCUCAGCAUAUAUACCUAUUAACCUUCAUCUGGAGAUCUGCUUGGUGAAUGCCCAGGUUCCCAUGACAGAAGUGGGAUAGUGUAGCCUCAGAAAGAAUUGUUUUUAGCAAAGUACUUGUGGCGUUACUCUUCCUUAAAAGAACUCAUUUUUUAUUGUUGUCAUUAACUAACUACAGUGUUUCUCAGCAUGCACUUUUUCUUGAUAACUGAAUAAUGUCACACAAAUUAAAUGCUACCACUAAGUUUGGCAAUGCAAGAGCUCCAGAUGCACUGUCAUGGGAGAAAUGUAAUUCUGGUAAUAAUAAUAGUAGCAGAAAAUAGAAUCUGUCAUGAAAGAUAAAUUAACUAAAGCCAAGGCCAUGUGACCUUGCCUUUAUACACUAAACUGCAUUUACUAUUCUUUGUUCAGUUGCAGCCUUAAACAAAUGCUGAUAAAUAGCAAUGAGACAGCACACUGAAUAAUCAUGUCUUUAGAAAAAAAUUAAUAAAUGAAAUAAUGUUUCACCUUUGUGAGUGCAUUUACUUGUUUUUCCAGCAAUUUUUGUUAAAUUAGAUUAUACAAUUUAGGAAACUUAAAUGCAUCUUGACAAUUAAAUGCCAAACCUGGAAGAAAAGACACCUGGUAACAAAAUAAAGCAUUUAUGUGAUGACACAUAACCAGCACUAACAAUUUCAGCAUGCCAUAUAUGGAUGGCUCUGACAGAACAAAGAAGCAAACGAAACACGUCACCUAUACAACGAAAGCCCAAGGACUUAGUGAAUGAAAAAGUAAUUUAAAUUAGUGAACUGUAUUUUAGCACUGAUAAUUCAAUAUACCUUAAAUACGUCAUGCUGCACUCUGCAAGCGCAGUGAAAAGACAUCCACAGUCUGAAAACAGACUCUUCAGUGCAGGUAAGCUGUUCCACUCAUGCAGAACACAUGCCAGAAAGAGAUAUGGCUUCUGUACAGCAAUUCCUGAGCUACCCGACAUAGUUCAGUGGCAGAUGAAUAAUUUGGCUCCAUCAUUACCAUAAUCUUCAUCUAACUGCCAUGAUCUUUAGUAUAUUCUGUCCCUGCUUUUGCUGGGUCGAGCUAGUGGCACUGUUUUGAACUAAGGGUACUGACUCUUGAUUGUGGUUGUGCAAAGUCACACUGGAGGCAGAAUUUUCAUCUUAACUGAACUAACAUUACAAUGUAAAAGUAUUUUUCAUCUAGAGGAAAUAAGAAACCUAAAAGCUAUAUAAGAAAACCUUGUUGUCUCAUUAGUAAUUACUCAUUACUACUUAAUGUCUUUGUGUUACUGCUUUUGUACGUUCAGUGUGUCUCAAAUACUUUAUAAAUAGUUUUCUUGUAAAAAUAAAUUAUGUUUCUGAGUAUGGAAUUAUACUGCUUGUUUGAGAGCUGGUUAUUACCUUGUAUCAAUCUACGAGCCUGUUUAACAAACUAUGUCCACAUGCAGUAAAUUUCAUCUCUAGCUUAAGGGUCUCUGGGGUUAAAUAACAUGUUUAGUCUUGCUAUGUAUUCUGCGUAAGUAAUAAUCUUUAAUUUCUGUCCUGAAUAUAGGGUUAAACAUGUGAAGUGCUUCACUAUUUUCAAGUUCAGUGCCUACAAUUUAUUCCACCAUAAACCAUCAUCUUCAGAGAAUAAGAUGGUCAACUAACUGCUUCAAGAUUCAGCUGAGCAUUGUAGCAACUGUGCAGAGUAUUACACUCAAGAAUUAUAAUGUAAUUGCAUGCUUAGGCACAUCAUUCAGUGGUUUGCCAUUUUGCCAAUUGUAGUGUUGAAUAAAACCUUCAGACCAUGUUGGUAAUCAGAAUGGAGGGAGGCCUCUUUUUCUGGAGUGGAGCAGCUGCUGGCAAUAAAGCCUAACUGCCUAUUUUUAGCUACAAGACAACAGAGAGGUUACUCCACCUAGAGAAAGACAGACAAGCUAUAACAUAAUGUUACAGGGCAUGCUGGAAGAAGUGGUUCAUACAGAAAAAAUAUCACCAUCAUUCAUCUGUUACCAUUCCUUGAUAAGUCAGGUAACUUUUUUAACUAAUAUUUUCUUUCCAGAUGUCAAAGAUAUUGGUGGGGGUGGGGUCUGAACUAAGCAGUAGUCAAAAUGCAAAAUAUAAGACUGAAAUUCAGUGUGAACUUUAGGACAAAUACCCAGUCUUGAAAGGUUGUUAUAUUGAAAGUCCCUGCCUAAUUCUUGGGGGCAUACUAUAAUGUAGAGAAAUUUCACCUAUACCCACAUAAUCCUCCAUAUUUGCUCAGUUAUGCUGAGUCCUGUUAUCCUUCCUCUGAGGGAGCAGGAUAAAGUAAAAAAAGAGGUCUGGUUCAUUUGCCUAUUUGUGUGUAUAAAUUCCGUCCCCUCAGUUUUAUUAGCAGAUCUGCUGCACUUCAGACCACAGCUGGUCAAGAAGUUCCCAAUUAACCAGGCUGUUGUUUGAAGCCAAAAUGGUGCACCAAAGAAUGUCACAGUAAAUAGACUCCGGAUGUAGCACAAGCAGAGAAUAUUUUUGUCCUUGUUUCCAGCCAGCUUCCCAGGCAGAUGCUUCAGAACCAAAGUACAGAGAUCUGCAGCUGUGGUAAAGUUUUUUUUCUGGAUCCAGAGCAUGAAGCUUCUUGCUACAAAAAUGAAGAUGCCUGUUGCAGGAAUUCAGGUACUCACUCCCCUGGAAGCUCCAACAGCCCAAGUGGAUAGGUUAUCCUGGCAUCCCUCACUAUGAAUACCCACACUACCCUCAGCUCCCAUGGAGGAACAUGUCCUAAAGUUGAUGAUGGGAUAAAAAUUGCUAAGAUGUGUGGUAGGAAGAGGGGACAAAGCAGACAUUGCUCUAAUUUGUUCCAGACAAUAUGAGCAAAACCACCUAUUCCUUCUAGAAUGAAAGAAUAGAGAAUUUCUUCCCAGUGGUAUUUUUUAGAU